RNAcentral lists this unclassified non-coding RNA (520 nucleotides) under uncultured Glomus. RNAcentral's name for it is "SSU rRNA". It matches the Rfam family "Eukaryotic small subunit ribosomal RNA", at positions 569 to 1093 of the family's 1831-position model. The record is from RNAcentral. Lineage: Eukaryota; Fungi; Glomeromycota; Glomeromycetes; Glomerales; Glomeraceae.
CGCAGCCGCGGUAAUUCCAGCUCCAAUAGCGUAUAUUAAAGUUGCUGCAGUUAAAAGCUCGUAGUUGAAUUUCGGGACUAAUAUGUCGGUCGUGCCUCGGUACGUACUGGCUUAUUGGUUUCUCCUUUCUGAAGAACCAUGAUGUCAUUUAUUUGGUGUCGUGGGGAAUCAGGACUGUUACUUUGAAAAAUUAGAGUGUUUAAAGCAGGCUCACGCUUGAAUACAUUAGCAUGGAAUAAUGAAAUAGGACGUUUGAUUCUAUUUUGUUGGUUUCUAGGAUCGACGUAAUGAUUAAUAGGGAUAGUUGGGGGCAUUAGUAUUCAAUUGUCAGAGGUGAAAUUCUUGGAUUUAUUGAAGACUAACUACUGCGAAAGCAUUUGCCAAGGAUGUUUUCAUUAAUCAAGAACGAAAGUUAGGGAUCGAAGACGAUCAGAUACCGUCGUAGUCUUAACCAUAAACUAUAGCCGACUAGGGAUCGGAUGAUGUUUAAUUUUUAAUGUACUCAUUCGGCGCCUUAACC